GAUGAACGCUGGCGGCGUGCUUAACACAUGCAAGUCGAACGAAGCACUUAAUGAGAUUUCUUCGGAUUGAUUAUUUUGUGACUGAGUGGCGGACGGGUGAGUAACGCGUGGGUAACCUGCCCCAGACCGGGGGAUAACAGUCGGAAACGACUGCUAAUACCGCAUAAGCGCACAGUGCCGCAUGGCACAGUGUGAAAAACUCCGGUGGUCUGGGAUGGACCCGCGUCCGAUUAGUUAGUUGGCGGGGUAACGGCCCACCAAGACCGCGAUCGGUAGCCGACCUGAGAGGGUGACCGGCCACAUUGGGACUGAGACACGGCCCAGACUCCUACGGGAGGCAGCAGUGGGGAAUAUUGCACAAUGGGGGAAACCCUGAUGCAGCGACGCCGCGUGGAGGAAGAAGGUCUUCGGAUUGUAAACUCCUGUUGUUGGGGAAGAUAAUGACGGUACCCAACAAGGAAGUGACGGCUAACUACGUG
This 479-nucleotide ribosomal RNA is filed under the name uncultured bacterium. Its description in RNAcentral is "bacterial SSU rRNA". It matches the Rfam family "Bacterial small subunit ribosomal RNA", at positions 28 to 507 of the family's 1533-position model. The record is from RNAcentral.